CGGGGUGCAGCAGGCGCGAAACCUUCGCAAUGCGCGAAAGCGUGACGAGGUUAAUCCGAGUGGCCCCCGCUGAGGGGGUCUUUUGUCAGCUGUAAAUAGGCAGGCGAAUAAGGGGAGGGCAAGCCUGGUGUCAGCCGCCGCGGUAAUACCAGCUCCUCGAGUGGUCGGGGCGAUUAUUGGGCCUAAAGCAUCCGUAGCCGGUUCCGUAGGUCCUCUGUUAAAUCCAACCGCUCAACGGUUGACCUGCAGAGGACACCGCGGGACUAGGAGGCGGGAGAGGCGGACGGUACUCCGCGUGUAGGGGUAAAAUCCUUUGAUCCGCGGAAGACCACCAGUGGCGAAGGCGGUCCGCCAGAACGCGCUCGACGGUGAGGGAUGAAAGCUGGGGGAGCGAACCGGAUUAGAUACCCGGGUAGUCCCAGCCGUAAACGAUGCUAGCUAGAUGAUUCAUUCGCAAGUCGCGAAUGAAGUGUCGCAGGGAAGCCGUUAAGCUAGCCGCCUGGGGAGUACGGUCGCAAGACUGAAACUGAAAGGAAUUGGCGGGGGAGCAC
This 551-nucleotide ribosomal RNA is filed under the name uncultured archaeon. RNAcentral's name for it is "bacterial SSU rRNA". It matches the Rfam family "Archaeal small subunit ribosomal RNA", at positions 326 to 879 of the family's 1478-position model. The record is from RNAcentral.